GGUCGCCCCGAUACUACAGCGUGGUUCCCUCGCGCGUGCAGUUCGUCGGUGGUUUCUCCACCUUGAUGCCGAUCCAGGGCGGGUGCAGGUGGUUCCCCUCUCUCUGUACUCCCUCUUCCUCGUUCAAUGGCGGAUCCUAGGUUCUCCCCACUGACGAACAGGAAAAAAAGUGAGCACAGCGAGGAUGGUUUUGCCGUUCACUUUGUUUUUGUUUUUGCGGCUGAAAUCUUCAGUGCACGGCUAGGGAUGAAUUCGGGGCUCCUCGGAUGUGCUCCGGCGGCGAAGGUGGAAGUACCUCCCCUCUCUGCUGCUCCGUUGCCUGAUUCCCUCCUCUGCAGUUCUGUAAACGCUUGUCGUGCCGCUCGGCGACAGAAGUUUUGCAUCGCGGGCUGUGGGUAUGCAGUCCACUCGCAUAGAGCUCAUGGAGUCCAGAGCUCACUAGUUUCAGUUGAGUUUCACUGUACCAUUGUACCUGAUGUAUGUGUAUGUGAUUCACUUUUAAAAAAACUUUGACAAGUGCAGCUCGCUAGUGUUGUUUCGCAGGUCACUUUGGUGUGCAUACAUUCGACAUGUGCAUACUUUUUUUGGCAUUCACUUUGGCGUUCACCUGGAGGUCAUCAGCUUUGUGCUAUCACCCGGAGGUCAUCAGCGUUGCGCUGUUAUACUGCCCAAAAAUGAUUUUGUGCAUUUUUUUCCUUUUUGAUUUGGGCAAAGUGUUAACUACAGUGUGUUGUGAAGUUCAGUGUGCUAGGAGUUUGACGUUUGUGGCGUUGACUAUGCAGUACACUUCAUUUGGAACAAAUGUAUCUAAUUUUUUUAUGCUUUUCAUGGAAACAAACAAAGAAAAUAAUGAGGUUCAUUUUUGGUGGUGUGG
RNAcentral lists this long non-coding RNA (874 nucleotides) under Triticum aestivum (bread wheat). Its description in RNAcentral is "long non-coding RNA (TAES_LNC006802)". The record is from RNAcentral. Lineage: Eukaryota; Viridiplantae; Streptophyta; Magnoliopsida; Poales; Poaceae.